This 209-nucleotide ribosomal RNA is filed under the name Clostridioides difficile. Its description in RNAcentral is "partial 23S ribosomal RNA". It matches the Rfam family "Bacterial large subunit ribosomal RNA", at positions 1136 to 1353 of the family's 2925-position model. Lineage: Bacteria; Bacillati; Bacillota; Clostridia; Peptostreptococcales; Peptostreptococcaceae. The record is from RNAcentral.
AAUAGCUCACUGGUCGAGUGAUCCUGCGCCGAAGAUUUCCGGGGCGAAAACUUACUACCGACGCUACGGCAUCAGUAAUGAUGGGUAGGGGAGCUUCCCAUAAGGGUGGAAGCAUGACCGUAAGGACAGGUGGAAAGUAUGGGAGUGAGAAUGUUGGCAUGAGUAGCGAGAUGUGGGUGAGAAUCCCACAGGCCGUAAACCCAAGGUUU